CACGCAGUAAACGAUGAUCACUAGCUGUUUGCGAUACAGUGUAAGCGGCACAGCGAAAGCGUUAAGUGAUCCACCUGGGGAGUACGCCGGCAACGGUGAAACUCAAAGGAAUUGACGGGG
Molecule: ribosomal RNA, 120 nt
Filed under: uncultured bacterium
Lineage: Bacteria
Description: partial 16S ribosomal RNA
Rfam family: Bacterial small subunit ribosomal RNA
Source: RNAcentral